RNAcentral lists this long non-coding RNA (13741 nucleotides) under Xyrichtys novacula (pearly razorfish). The record is from RNAcentral. Lineage: Eukaryota; Metazoa; Chordata; Actinopteri; Labriformes; Labridae.
UUCACUGGUUUAUAUUUUCCAGGAUUUUUCUCCAGGUUCUUCCAGGUGAUCAAACCUCUGUGUGUGUGAGUGUGUGGUGAUGCUGGGGUCAAGUACAAGCAGAGGUCCAGAAUAAACUUUCACAGUGACAGCAGACAGCUUUAUGACCUCAUCCAUGACCUUACAUAAUUCAUGGGACACGUCCCUCCUCUUAUGGCUUUACUUCAUCCUUCAUCCAUCGUAUUACAAUAACACAAGUAUUAUUGUCCUUUCUGCAUGUGAAUGCAGCACAGACAGACAACAAACACGAGGACAACAAGCCCUGAGAUAGAGUUCAAUGAGGUCACAUGAUGCAGGUGUGACGGAGACCAUGCACAGACAACAUGAGGCAUGUUUUACAACAUUCAUAUUGAAAGUCUCAUUAUGAAGCAUGACAACAGACAUGUACAUGAAGUGUUCAAAUCGCACAUUUCUUUUUGCUCUUCUUUUUUUUUAUUUGUGUGUUGAGCCAAAACAAAGUCUCAGCAUCAGAACUCAUCUGACUCAUAUCAGUCAGCUCUUUUGCAUCCAUUAAAUUGAAACAUCAAGUUUUGAAAAUGUACUGCUUCUCUCAGUGGUUUCUUUUUCCUGCCUAUCCUCAUUAUCUUGUCAUUUAUUGCAUGUAGGUUGUACCAUCAUUUAUCCUGUAAUAAACAGAUCAUUUAUUUUUCUAAAUUCUCUUCAGUUAGUGUUCUUCCAGAAGUGAAGUCCCUGAAAUGAGAAUUUCAGCUUGAGAUAUGAGAUUGAUUAAUUUAAGAUUGACUUAAUGUUUGAUUUCUGAAUUAAACUUUUUUUUCUCUUUAUUUUUCCACCCUUAAGGGUGGGUGGUGCUCCUUUCAAUGAGUGCAUAAAUGUCAUAAUUUAAGAUAAUUAAUCUUAAGACAUUUAUUAUAAAUUCAAAUCACUACAUGAGUAUAUUUGUAUUCUCUAUAUUUUCAGUGUUAAGUGGAAUAUUCAUCAUUUCUCCUUCAUAUAUUAAUUAAAUUAUAAAUAAUGUAUAUAAAUCCCACAUUUCAGUUUCAUUCACUUUCUGUAACACAAUUUUAUGAGAGGUACAAAAUAAACAGGUCUGACUACAUAAAACAUUUACUGUAUUUAAUUGUAACUGCGCUUAACUGUUGGCUCAACUGAGAACCAGCAUCUUUCAUCACAUGAUUUAACACUGCCAUCUGCUGGAAAAUGACAGCACUAGGCUGUGUGGAGAGGAGGAAAAAAACUCAUGUUCAACUGAGACUGAGUAAAUGGUUUACACAGGCUUUGCUGGAUGAUAUUUGAUUUUAGUCAUUAUUAGGCUGAUAUAAGAACUGUGUUUUUGACAGAGUGAAAGGAAUUAGGCUUUGGAUGUUGGAGUGGGACGGAUAACAUUAAAUGUGUGAUUAUGAAAUCUUGAAAAUAUGACUUGCUCACUGUUAUCUUAGAGUUAUCUAACAUUGACUUUAGGUAAAAAUUCCUCUAGCACAGGAAACAGUAAGGUAGAUUUCUUUAUUUGGAUCAGUGAAGCUUCCAGAUCAGAAAUAAUGGAAUUAAGAAUACUUUUAACAUCGUAGGAACAGCAGGUUCGACUUAUUUUUUCAACUAGAGGUGACUAUAGGUUAAUACAUAUUGGAAAGGCUUUUGGAUUAGGCAGCAGUAGGACUCAAUAGACUUCUCAAAAAGAGGCAGAGGACUGCAAGGCCUUCAAAAUUCAGAAGCAAUGGAAUAAAAGAGCCUUCCAAGGAAAUCAAUUUUGACUGUUAGUUGGUAGGAUUAACACAUUUCUACACAAAAAGGACCAAGGAUUAAACUAAAAACUAGAAGCAGCUACUACUACUAACUACUUAAGCAGCUGUCAGAGUGAGGCAACUUCUAGAUUAUGGAGGCGUGAAAUCAUCACUCCUCUGAACAAUACAGCAGCAGGACUGAAAAUAGCUCUAGAUCGGUCUCUGGAGAUGUGAAGUGUGUUUGAAGUUGGUCAUAGCGUAAAAGAAAAAACAGAAAACAUGACUAACUCUUGUGCUGGAAAAAAAACAGCAACAACGUCAUAAGAGCUUGAUUGUUUUUUAAUCUGCAUAUAUUCUGAAACAGUUAUGAGUAUAUCAAUCAUUAAUGUGACACUAUGAAUAUUAAUUGAGAAUUCAAGUGAUCAGUGAUUACAAGAAAUCCAAAAGUGUCUAAUGUUCUCUUUGAUUUCACAAGGACGACAGAUUUCCAAGGAUUAAUGAAUAACACUUUAACUGACAUCCAACAUAUCCACAAUAAAAAUGUAUAAUAGUAUAGAAAAAAAGUGAAAUUAUUACAUUUUGAGUAGUUUAAUUCAUUUCAGCCUCCAUUCAUAUAUAACAACUAGUUAUAACUUUAUAAAUGCAAAAGUUCUGUAUAGUUGAAAGUUUUUGAAAAGUCUCUGGAUAUUAAUUAUCCCUUUCAUAAUGACUGACAGAGGGAUUUAAUGUAUGACUUUAAAAAAUGAUUAAAACAAAAACGAAACAAUCACGUUGAGUAAAUUUCAUGAAGUGGUUCAUAAAAAUGUGAUUUCAGAAUUAAACACAUGAAACUUAAAAAGAAAAAGACAUUAAUGUCACUAAAGUAAGGUUGAAAAUCAAAAACAAUAGGAUAAUCAUCAUAUAAAUUACCUCAUAUUAUUCAUGGAUAAUUUUUCGAAAUCAUUUCUUGCUUCUCAGAUUAUCUGCAGUGAGCUGACUGAGGCUCAGAUUCUGAAGUGGAAUGCCACAUUUGGAGGAGAGGAUUUCUAUAAGUUUGUCAUCCUCGCUGCCUGAUUCAUCGUUCAUUUCAAACUCAUCCAUAUCAGUUUUGAGAACCUUUCUCUUUGACUUGAGUUCCUCUGAAUGGAUGUUGCUCAGUUGUUCCUCCCGCUGCUCUUUGGCUUGUUGGAGUGAGUCCUGUAAUCUUUGAUUCAGUUCUUCUCUCCUCUUUUCUUCAGCCUCUCUCCUUCGCCUCUCUUCUUCUCUUCUUCUCUCCUCUUCUUGCCUUCUCCUCUCUUCUUCUCUUCUCCUCUCCUCUUCUUGCCUCCUCCUCUCUUCUUCUCUUCUCCUCUCCUCUUCUUGCCUCCUCCUCUCUUCUUCUCUUCUCCUCUCCUCUUCCUGCCUCCUCCUCUCUUCUUCUCUUCUCCUAUCUGUUCGGCUGAUAAAAGCAACUGGCGCAUUGGUACAUAUUAUCGUGGCCUACUUCUCUGAAGUAUUCACCUCCAUUGAACACGUAUACACAGAUUCCAUGAAUAGUGGCUUGGUAAAGGUUGUCAAAGUUUGUACACGGAGGCAGGAUGCAGCUACAUUUGUAACAUCUUAGACUGCCUCCCAUGUUAGCCUCUGAUGGUACGUUCCCCAUUUUUCUGGUUUAUUCAGCAGUUUAGUCUGUGUUGUUCUUUUCUGUUUUCUCCUGUAAGAGACAAAUAUAAUUCAAUCAGGACCACUUCAGUCAAAAGAAUCACUAUUUGCACACAAUAAGUUUAACUUGGUGGUAUGGCCCUGUUCUGAGAGCUCCCUGUCCUUUAUGUGCAUAUAUGGAUUGUCAAAGCCUGAGGCAGGGAGAGCACACCUUUUUUCUAUUUCAGUCAGGACCACUUUAGUCAAAAUUAAUUAUUUAUUACAAGCAAACAUUUUUCCAUUGGUGGUAUGGCUCUGUUCUGAGAGUUCCCUGCCCUUCCAUGCGCUUGCAUGGAAUGCCACGGCUAUAAGAGGGGGGAGCCCCUCCCUUUUAUGCGUGUACAAGAAAAGCCAAGGCAGAGAAAGCAGCAGCAAAUAAAUUAAAAUCCCCCCACAGAACAGAGCAAGUAUCCAUGACGAUACAUAUGGGUGGGUUACAGAGUGGUUGCAGCAGGCAGAGUAGGCAGGAGAAGCAGUUUAAAUAGGAUGCCAUUUUGACAUUUGCCAAUAGGAUGUGUGGGGGCGAUCAGCUGAGCUGUCAGCUGACUGAGGGCUGGAUUAAGAUCAGCUGACUGUAGCCUUUAGCUUGACUUCGUGUCCUGCCUGAACUACCGCUAUGCUUUAUUUCACAUCAAUGGAUAGCUGAGGCAGGAAGAGCAACAGCAAGGACAUCUUAGACAUGACAGGCUAUUCUCUCUGUCCUCCAGGUACUCACAUAAAAGCACUAGCGGAAAAGUAGCUACAAAGCUGAAACUAGAAGCUAUUUGGCAUAAUAUGUGUUGUAUCAGCCAGCAAUGUAGGGCACCCAUUGCUGUUGAGAAUCAGGUUCAGUUCAUUAGUGACUACAGCAAUCAAGAUACUAUAACUGGGUAAAGUACAUACGUCACCAAGAACCAAAACCCAAAACCAGCAGAGGGCACUGCAUUGGCAUAGUUUUACAGCUUAUCAGUUAGCUAGUUCUAGUCAGUUUAUGCACUUUUCUUUACAAAAGUGCUCCUUGAUAUGCUGUUGUAAACACAAAAGGGCUGACUAAAAUAAUCCAAAACGUGAGUUUUGCAUUCGGGACAAUUUAAUGAAAACAUCAAACUGUAAAAGCUAACAGUGCUGAGUUGUAUCUGUUUCUUUCUCCUUUGGGGAGAGCAUGUGUUUUGAAAUAAUGUCUGAUUAUGAUUUCUCAAAUAAAAGCUUUUUUUUUUCCAAACUAAAAAUAGUUAGCUCUAUCUGUAAAAUGCUAGCUGUAUUUGCUUAGAUGUUGACACUGCUGGCUAAUGUUAUUCAUACAGUAUAUAGACUUAAAUUGAUGGUGGUUUUAAUUAAUGUAAAAUGUGUCAUACAAGGACUCAUGACAUUAAUAAAUACAUACAUAUAUAUAUAUAUAUAUAUAUAUAUAUAUAUAUAUAUAUAUAUAUAUAUUAUACAAAUUUAAUGAUAGGUGUUUUAUAAAAAGCAUUGUAAAGUGUUAUCAAAACAAUGAGUUGAGAUUUAUCAAGACUGAAAGCAACUGAUGUGAAUUUUUUUUUUUUGCCAUACCGCCCAGCUCUACUGAUAUAAACAGAGCACAGAACUGUCACCUGUACUGAUUUUACAGAAGAGAACUUUGUUUACUGAUAACACAAAAGUGUGCUUGUCGUUGUGGGGGAAAAUAGCAGAUAUGUUUGGAUGUUUUGGAGGUUACUAUGAGGCAAGAAAGCAGGAUAUGGUUGGAGAGGUCAGAUUGGGAUAAACUUCAUCAGGUCAUGGUGAACUGUAUUACAAUAACAGGAAAUUUGGCAGAGGAAGAUGGAUACAGAUGUGCUUCAGAGAUAUUGGCAGGGAAGAGUCACGUAGGUAACGUUCCCACGUGAAAGUGGGAAAUACACACACACGAAGGUAGCUUCGCACACACAUUUGGCAAAAGCUGAGAUCAGUGACGUCAAUGGAGUACUAUAAGAGGUCUGUAGUUUUUCUGUUCUGAGUUAUGUCUGUUCGAUUUGUUCAUUGAACUGUGUUUGUUGCUGUGAUCGGAAUAAAAUCCUGCGAGAGGCUGCCAGCUUGAUUCUGUCUUCGUGUAGUUCAUUCCUGCAUUUUUGCACCGAGGUCAUCUUCUAAAUCUGCUUGUGUGUGUGUGUGUGUGUGUGUGUGUGUGUGUGUGUGUGUGUGUGUGCGCGUGUGUGUGUGUGUGUGUGUGUGUGUGUGUGUGUGUGUGUGUGUGUGUGUGUGUGUGGCAAAGACAACAGAGGGGGAGCUGUGUGAGCUAAUGAACAACCCCUUUGGUUACGUUGAGAAUGAGACAGAUCAAGAACAUUCUGAGCCGAGGACAAAAUACUUUCUACCAGAAGAUUAUUUUUCAUACAUCUAAAAUUUUAUAACAGUCUAAACAUAAAGAUUACUCAUGAAAUAAAAAUAAAGUUCUCAUAGUGUGUUAAUGUGACAGUGUGACUGAGGCAUGAUGGCACAAUGAAAGACAAGAAUCUUGAGCAAUAAACAUUCAUUUUGUGAAGAAACCAUUACAUGUUCUAAUCAUUGAAGCAGUAAUUUAAUGGAUAUUUGUUGUAAAACUUUCAUCAUCCUCAGAGUUGUACAUCUUUUGUACUGUUAUUGACAUGAAUGUUGUGAUCAUUAUUCAUUAAUAUUAAUAGAUUAGCACUGUAACCAUCUGUUGUGGACCUUAUAAACAUGUUAAAUCGUCUCUGUAGAGCAUAUAUGGUCAUAUACAGUCAUUCUUUAAAUGUGUUCAUAUUUUGCACUUCUGGUCAGACUACAGACAGUAGACCAGACCCAUGCACCCAUAAGAAUAUAAUCUAAGUCUAAUGAUCUGUACACUGGACUUGCAAUCAUAUACAAAUACAAUGUUAUAAACCACAAUAACAUCAAUCUAUCACAAAUAAAACCACAAGAAAACAAUGCAACACUAAAACCAUGCUGUGACUUCAUGCCUCAGAUUCAAAUUAUGUUUGAUAACAUUACAAUUUUACUAUUUACAAUUGAUCUAGAUAGAUAGAUAGAUACUUUAUUAAUCCCAGAGGAAAUUCAGAAAUCUAAGGAUUUAAAAAUCUAGACAUAAAUGAUAAAAAAUAUGUAUUAAAAUGAGAAGAAUAUAUACUGUAUGUUUAAUGCAUGGACAUUAAUUAACUAAUUUAGGAAUAAUAUUUGCAGAUUUUUUUAUGCCAACAAAAACAUGAUAAAUGUAAAACUCAAGAGUUUGUUACCUGCAGAAGAAAAGAGAUGUGUCCACUCAUCUAGACUCUGACUGAAGUGAGCCCUAGUGGCACUUUUCCAGAUUUUUUAUACUGUACGGAUGACUUUUUACUUUCACUUUCACAGAGGUGGUUAGGUUUUUCCCUGAAACCACGUGAACACACGCCCGCAACACGCACAGCUGAAUUAGUGUCACAUGUAGGCUACGUGGCUGGAGUGGCUGAUCAGGAAAACGGAUACAUUUCCCAGUGGACCGGGCUGAGUGAAAGGCAGGGAAAGACAGCCAAGGGAAUGAGGCGUUGGACAAGGAGUAGGUGAAAAAUAACAUACCAGAGAGAAUUACGUUUUUGUCUUUUGCACACAGAAAUAUGCACCCCGGAGCAAAGCAAGGAGUAAGAUUUAGACAAGAUUCUCCUUAAAGUUCUGCCUCUUUUCAGCUCUCCUCUCACUGCAAACCAUAGACUGUAUAUAAGAUGGACACCCUGGUUCCGCCUUCUGCCUGUAUACGGAUUUGAGGCCAAAAAGCUCUCGGUAAUUCCGGGUUUUUCUCCACUUCCUUGAAACCAGAGCUGUGCAGUAGCGUUGUGCGCAUUCGGCCGCGCAGUCGCCAAGAGUCCCUGUGAUGACGCUUGGCUCAAACAGCGUAUCCCCCGGGUGAGCUCCGCAAUCCCUGAACGCCCAUAGGCUGUACCAGGUGUCAAUCAUAGAAAACAUGAACCCCCUAAUAACUUUUAAAAUCGGAGCUGUACAGAAAAAAAAGGACUUGGGCACAAACCAGUCUUACAAUAACUACAUGUCAACAUCACAAGCAGGGGGGAGAAAAAUGUAUGUUCUGUGUAAUAAAUUUUUAAAGUUUGUCCACAGUCCCAUAAGCUUUGCUGACGGAGGCGGGAUUUAUGGCCUGUACUGCAGCCCACCAUCAGAGGGUGCUGUUCUCGGAGUGGCUUCACCCAGCGAGGAGGCAGACUCUGUCCAUCUUAUAUACAGUCUAUGCUGCAAACACACUCCUCUGUCCGUCCUCCAUUGUAUACCCGUGAUUUUGAAUCAGAAUCAUACCUUAACAGUCUUUGUGAUAAAUCUUUAUCUGUUCUUCCAUGUCCACCUAUCUCUCCCUGUAGGGGAGACCGGGGCUUGUUGUCAUAUGGGUAAGUUGUCACAUUGCACUUAUCUUUGCCACCAGAGGGCGCAACUAAAAAGUGGAAUACUAGUUUUAUUUCUUUACAUGGUCGGGUUCAUGUCCUGUCUGAGAAGAGAAGAGCACAUUGUGAGCUGAGAUGAGAUAAGCGCUAAUUAACCAUUUUUCAUAACUCAAAGUAAAAAAAUUAACUUUGUAUAUUUUAAGAUAACCUUCUUCCAGAUAAAAAUCCUAGCAGUGAUACAUGUGGACUUGUUAGAGGAGAGAUUAAGGCAUCCUGUCAUACUUCAGUCAUUGUUCUGUUUUAAGCUAACUUUAAGCUAGAGCUAUAACUAGCAAAUAUGUUAGUUUGGGGCAACAUGCCGCAAUCAUUUUGGGAUCAGUUGUCACAUGUUUAAAAGGGAUUAAAAUCAACAUAGAGAGUCUGCUUAUCAGCAGUUGUCAUAUUGAAACUGACUGACAGCUCUUCAAACUCCAGAGCAUGUUGCAUAAUAUUUUAUGUUAACGUUUGUUCAAUUACUUUUUCUAGCUCAAUGAUAAACAUUUAAUAUCCCUGACUUUGGUGUACACUUUCAUGUAAAAAUGAAAGAACAACAAUAAGAACAACAAUAAUUUUUUCCUUGUUUUAUUAGCUGCAAAAUCCACUGCGACAUCUUACCCCAUGUAAUGAGACAACUUAGGGCAACAUGUCACAUGUUCACACUCUCUUUUUAAUUGCUUAUAACUCUGCACUGACACAAGAUAUGAAAAUGACAUGAAUACGAAAUAUAUACCUGAGACUUUGGUCUUUCAUCUGGUAUACAUUUUGUUUUUAUAUGAUGUACUGAUUCAAAGGAAGAGUGUAAAAAGUGUGACAACAAGCCCCGGUCUCCCCUAUCCCCCUUUGUCAGUCCAUCACAGUCUAUACAGUCCAUAUACAGCCAGGUGAAAAUAAAUCUUUGUUAGUGAGCUACUUGGCCCAUAUUUAUUGAACAUAAAUACAUACACUCAUAUAUUGUUUUCUUUCAACUGAGGCUCAUUUUUUGCCACUUCCACUUUCUUUUUCUUUAGGUUGUCAAUCCUUAGUCAGUUUAGUGUCUUAGGUAAAGCACAUAUUUGCAGAUGUCACAUAAACAUAGAUGAAUAACUUGUAGGUCUUUGUGAUCCUUGAAAGCUAUAGUUGUAAACUUUUCCUCAUUCUUGUGGCUUUUAUGACAGGUCAAUAUCUGUUUCACUUUAACUCAUAGCAGAUCUGCAGUUUUUAAUUUGUGGAACAAGAGAGUGACACGCUCCUGUGUGCAGACACAGAAAAUGUCUUUCUGAUGACUGUGAUUUAAAAAAGAAAAAGUAUUUUAAGCUAACUUAUAAAAUGAUAUCUCUACAACACAAAAUCAUAGACAUACAAGCCCAUGGUAACUGAAAGCCUUUGGGGGAGAUGUAAAAUGCACAUAACUCAGCAGACUUCAAUCAUUUCAUUCUAGUAUUGUGGCUAUUAUGUUCAGCACCUGUGCCAGUUGUAACAUAAUAAUGGGGGCUCAUCAGGGAUCAUCAGUUUUUGUUUAUCUUUGGUGUUUUCACCCCAGUUUGUAAAAACUGAACCUUUUGUUGAUGUUUGAGGUGUGAUUUUGAACACCGUGGCAGUGAAUUACUGUGAUUGUCUCUCCUAAUAAGCACAUGGUGAUUAGAGAGUCUUUGUGCAAACUUUGAUCCAAGUGAUUUCUCCUUGGUCAGUGAGGGAGUGGGCCAGCUGGGCUGUACUAGUUUGUCCGUCCAACAGCCUACUCAUUUGUUAUUUUACCUUUUUUUUUUUCUUUUGAGAGUGGAGACUUGACUGGGCUCAGGUCCUUGGGUGUCUUUCUGAGGAGAACCCAAGGUCAGGUUUUAAAAAAUUUUCUUGAGCCCUGCAGGCCUCAAUGGUUAGCUUUGGAUUGAGCUGGGCAGGUACCAGGAGGAUUGCUUUUGUGGUAUUUCUCUAUGGAGAAAUUUGAGAAAUGUCUCUUUUAGUGGCAUUUGUGCAACUCUUUAAGCUAUAGGAGACAGAUCUUUGCUCAGUUGCAGCUCAUUAUGGUUUAACUGUUCAAGGCAACCUCAGAAAGUUGGCUUCAAAAUCUUUAAUAGGUUUGUUGAUAAGAGCAUCUUGUGUGAGAAAGUCAAAAUGCUAAUAGAGGCAGCCGCAGAAGUUACUGUAGCGUCAUGUUUGAAAGAGCUUGAGUUAAGGCUGCAGUUAAAGAGAAUUGAAUGAGGAAUUUACACCAAGGAAAGAAACAGGCAAGAAUGUAUGAGCUUGAGGGUGAAAAAAUGUGUCUUGAUAAUUUAAGAGCGAAAAGAGACAGGGAUUUUUAGUAAGAAAUCUGGCGUCCCUUGCUCAAACAAAUUUGAUGUUGGCAGGCAUAUUCGUUUGGUCUCCCCUUUUAAUUAAAAGAUGCUGAAAAGUACUUUUCACACUUUAAGGUUGAUCGUCUCCCAGUCAGAAGAUGAGUUGUUUGAUUCCAGAGCUGCUGAAGUGUCCUUGGGCAUCAUUCUUUACAUCACCUGCCCCCUUCCAGUGGUGUGAGAAUACAAUUAGUCAAAAGCUGAUGGGCUCUAUACAUAGCAAACUCUGAUAUCAGUGUGUGAAUGUGGUGAGAAUGUGACAUGUGGUGUAAAGCUCUCAUCACGUUUGUUCCGUUUGAGUCUUUUUUCAGUGUCAAUGUGUAUCUUUUCGUAAAGCUAUGACCUCUGUCUGACAUAUUUCAAGGAACUGAACCUUUAAACCUCUCUAUAAGGGGAAACCACUUCACACAUCGACUCAACAACCAGUCAGAUCGAAAUUUGAAACAGGAAGUGGUCGCUGCUGACCUCACAUACCCCAUGUUUUUUAAGUUUGGUGUGAAUGCUGAUACUCUCAGGUCACAACCCCUUAAGUUUUCUGUUUUCUACUUUUGUCUUUCACUUCUUGAUUUGUUUUUAUAUAUCAAGAAGUCAAGAUUUUUAUGCAACCUUUUGUUUUGCACUUACUAAGUUUUUCCAGGGAUUUUAGUGACAGGAUCUAAGGCUAUGUUCACACUGCAGGUCAAUUCCAAUUUUUUAACCAUAUGUGACACAUAUCGGAUUUUUUCAUGUAAGUGUGAACAGUGCAAUUCUAAUUUUCUAAAAUCCGACCCAGGCCUCUUUUGUAUGUGGAUAUAAAUCGGAUAUGUAUCUGAUGUGACUGCAGUGUGGGUGCUCAGGUGCGUUCAUCCGACCUAUACGUCAUCAAUAUGCGUCAAACGUCACCAUUGUUCGACAACACAAACAGGCGCGAAAAGCAAUUUGUGCUUUGUGCGCAUGUGGGUCACUUCACAGACGCAUUCCGUUCACAUUAGAUGCUACAUUCGUUGUUGUAAUGCAAGCGACCGCACAAAAAGAUCGGAUUUAACAAAAAAUCCGAAUUGUGCAUCAUAACCUGCAGUAUGAACGUAGCCUAACAAAAGGUGUGGGAAGACACAAAGAUGUCUGAGCACUUAAAUGUAGAGAAAAAAAGUAGAAAAUCAGACUAAAGAAGGCAUCUCAAAUGUUUGUUUGUUUUUUAAGCUGAAGCCCCUAAAAAGCUGGGGUAACAUAAAAGCCAUGCCAGGUAUGUCAACCCCAAUUAAAUCAGCUGUGACAGACAACUUCUUACCUCAUGCUUGCCUCUUAAAAUCAUAGGUUAGUUGUUUUAGAUAUUUAGAAACUGUGUGGACAAAUUUCAAGUUCAACAACAACUUCUAAAUAAUUUUCUUCUGCAUAAAGUUGUAAAGAACUUGUGAAUUUUUAUUAUCUACAGUAUGUAAUAUCAGUAAAAGAUUCAAAGACUCUGGAGAAAUCUCUGUAAGAGACAAGGAACAAAAAUCAAUACCAGCUGGCUCUGAUCUUCAUGAAUAAUCAUGACUCUGUAGUGUAAAUCACUGCAUGGUUGUAUUAUGAUCAGACCUGAGAAAAGGGGGUCUAGGUAGUGUUGGAUCGAAGCACUAGUGCACCAACCAGUCCAAAAGUUAAAUGGGUCUAAAGUGUGUUGAAAGCCUCUGAAUAUGUUGUUUGGUGUUUAAAAUGUUGGGUGCACUUAAGUAUUAUAAGUUUCAUGUCUUAAAUUUUAAAGUUGCUAAUGGAGUUGCUUUUUUGCAAAUCAGUUUUCAGACUUUGACGAUACUAGAUAAGUAGCCUACUUAAGAUCUAAACUUUAUUCUACAGCCUUUGCCCCAACACAUGUCCAUACAUAAUCAACAUUCACACACACACACACAGAAACAGCUCUGUAUUCAGUGAUCUUUAUUUAAAAGGCAAUCACUACAUUUAAUGUAAUGACACUGUGAGCAGCGUACUGAGCAUGUGCAGUGUGUGCAUGUGUGUGUGAACAGGAGCAGGUAGGAAAACAUGGUAAGCAUCUUCAUCAUUUUUAUCAUCAUUGAUAUUAUCAUGAUCGUCACCCUCCACUGCAGUGUGUGUUUGUUUACAUUCAACACCAUAAACAUGUUAAUAUUUAAGCAGAAGAGCAUGCCUUUUCUGUAACACUUGUUACAAAACUUUUUUCAAGCGCUGACGUGUUUGUAGUUCUUAGCAGUGUUUCUGAAACACAUGUAGUCCUGCUGAAGCUUCACUUUGUGAUAAGAGUGUAUAGACAGGCUGUGUGUUUAGACACAGUAAGUGUGUGUUUAAGCGGAGACAGUGUGACAUUCAUGUGUGUGAGAAACACAGAGAUUAAUAUCACUCAGUACAAUCAGGGGCACAGUUAACAUUUAGAUUCAUGUGCUGUCACCUCCCUCCUGAUAAAAUGUUUGUAUCUGUCACUCAGGCAGCCAACAUGGCUGAAAAUUGUCAACAUGUAGUUCCACUGGUGGCCACUAGGUGCUGUUUGUGAAAAGUCUCCACAUUCACACUGUUUCAGUGAAAAAGUCCAAACUUUUACAGGAAGUUUGAUUUCUCCUCUUUAGUGAAGGCAGAGACACAGAGUCCAUCAGAGAGAUUAAAGGUAAUUUGAUUGACAGGUGUCUCAGCCAAUGAGGUGUCCAUCCAGGAUCCUUUAAGUCUGUUCACUGGUUUUUAUUUUCCAGGAUUUUUCUCCAGGUUCUUCCAGGUGAUCAAACCUCUGUGUGUGUGAGUGUGUGGUGAUGCUGGGGUCAAGUACAAGCAGAGGUCCAGAAUAAACUUUCACAGUGACAGCAGACAGCUUUAUGACCUCAUCCAUGACCUUACAUAAUUCAUGGGACACGUCCCUCCUCUUAUGGCUUUACUUCAUCCUUCAUCCAUCGUAUUACAAUAACACAAGUAUUAUUGUCCUUUCUGCAUGUGAAUGCAGCACAGACAGACAACAAACACGAGGACAACAAGCCCUGAGAUAGAGUUCAAUGGGGUCACAUGAUGCAGGUGUGACGGGGACCAUGCACAGACAACAUGAGGCAUGUUUUACAACAUUCAUAUUGAAAGUCUCAUUAUGAAGCAUGACAACAGACAUGUACAUGAAGUGUUCAAAUCGCACAUUUCUUUUUGCUCUUCUUUUUUUUUAUUAGUGUGUUGAGCCAAAACAAAGUCUCAGCAUCAGAACUCAUCUGACUCAUAUCAGUCAGCUCUUUGGCAUCCAUUAAAUUGAAACAUCAAGUUUUGAAAAUGUACUGCUUCUCUCAGUGGUUUCUUUUUCCUGCCUUCACGCAGUCCCCUGACCUGCUAAACCGAGUGAGUUUGAACUUUCCUGACUGAUAGCAAAUGUACAGUACCUCACUUCUGUUUAAGAUCAAUUUCAGCUUGGGACUAGUUUCAUGGAGACAUGGCCAUCAUUUUAUCAGUGAUGAAAUGUGGGACUCACUAAUAGAUUGCUUUUCAAAUCUGAGAAAAAGAACCAUAAGUUUGAGUAUAAAAUCAAAAAUUCUGGGCUGCACUAUCUGCACACAAGCUCAAACGGGGCCAAAGUUUGAACCAGGGCUGUCACAAUAUUCCGUAAUAGAUCAUAACUGUCUUUAUUUGGAUUCAAUAUCAUUGAACGCAGUCCUAACAUUACAUGUUGUUCAAAAAUUGAUUUGUUUCAUCACUUGGACUGAAACUGGACAUUUUAAAUGCCAAGCGUUCUGUGCAUGCUCCAGAG